RNAcentral lists this ribosomal RNA (255 nucleotides) under uncultured bacterium. RNAcentral's name for it is "partial 16S ribosomal RNA". It matches the Rfam family "Bacterial small subunit ribosomal RNA", at positions 524 to 776 of the family's 1533-position model. The record is from RNAcentral.
UACGUAGGGUGCAAGCGUUGUCCGGAAUUAUUGGGCGUAAAGGGCUCGUAGGCGGUUUGUCGCGUCGGGAGUGAAAACUCAGGGCUUAACCCUGAGCCUGCUUCCGAUACGGGCAGACUAGAGGUAUGCAGGGGGAGAAUGGAAUUCCUGGUGUAGCGGUGAAAUGCGCAGAUAUCAGGAGGAACACCGGUGGCGAAGGCGGUUCUCUGGGCAUUACCUGACGUGAGGAGCGAAAAGUGUGGGGGAGCGAACAGG